GUAGGUGGCAAGCGUUGUCCGGAAUUAUUGGGCGUAAAGCGCGCGCAGGUGGGAUAUUAAGUCUGGUGUUAAAGUUCGGGGCUCAACCCCGUGAAGCAUUUGGAAACUGAUAUUCUUGAGUGCAGGAGAGGAAAGUGGAAUUCCUAGUGUAGCGGUGAAAUGCGUAGAUAUUAGGAGGAACACCAGUGGCGAAGGCGACUUUCUGGACUGUGUCUGACACUGAGGCGCGAAAGCUAGGGUAGUGAACAGGAUUAGAUACCCUGGUAAUCCUAGCUGUAAACGAUGGGUACUAGGUGUUGGGGGUAUCGACCCCUCCAGUGCCGGAGUUAACGCAAUAAGUACCCCGCCUGGGGAGUACGGCCGCAGGGUUG
RNAcentral lists this ribosomal RNA (371 nucleotides) under uncultured bacterium. RNAcentral's name for it is "bacterial SSU rRNA". It matches the Rfam family "Bacterial small subunit ribosomal RNA", at positions 527 to 896 of the family's 1533-position model. The record is from RNAcentral.